UGAAAUGCGGAAUUUCACCGCAUGCAGUGCAUGUGUCAGGACGCAGACGCGUGUCUUCAUAUCUCCGCCGCACACCCAUCUCCCAACCUCCUCAAUUCACCUCUCCAGUGGAUUCGGCCCUGCAAAGUUUCUGAUCCAAACAAUGGUACUCAUGGGAUUCACUCAACCAACCAAGAGGCGCUGUAACUGAGGCUGCUGUGUCCCGGUUGGCUAGCUAUUCAUAAGUAACCAAGCAGAAAGUGGAGGUAAUUUUCAUUUCCACAGAUGGAUGAUCCAGACAUGGAAUCAGAGAUUCAAGAUUACUCAUCAUCAGAUGGAAGUGACAAGAUGAAUUGGAUUCUGGACAAGGGAUUGAUGCUGGGGAAGAAAGCUCUGCUCACAGGUAUUGUGAUCUCAUCUGUACCCUUUGUUCUCCCUCCAUUAGUGGUUUUCUCGGCUCUUGGGCUGGCUUUCUCAGUCCCUUCUGGGCUUGCUGUUGCCACCUAUGCUUGUACCGAGAAGAUCAUGAGCAAGCUGCUCCCAAUGCCCAACCCCCCUCCCCUCGCUUUAGAGUAUGUGGAGGAAAUCUCUAGUGAUGAAAAAGAAGACGACAUGGGAUUUGGAGGAGAAAUUGAUAUGGGAAAGGAGGAAGACAAACUAAUGGAGGAUACAAAAAGAGGAGUUGAGGUGAGGAUUGAGUUUGUUGACAAGGGUAAAGAAGAACAGAUUGAAGGGAAGGUUUUGGUGGAGCAGGAUGAUUUAGGGCCAGAAAGCAUCCUGAAUGACGAAGUGGCAGAACCAGUAAUACAACUGGGUGGGGAUCAGCUUGUGGAAGAAAGCAGUUAUGAGGAGGAUGUUGGUGAUGGCAUACCAAAAGAGGGUGAACAGCCAUUAGAGAACAUCGAUGUGGGAGUUGAAGAAAGCAGGGAUGGCAAGGUGCACAGAUUAGUGAUUGUAUUUGAGAAAAAUGAUAGCAAUGUUGAAGAAAUCAGGGAUGAACAUCCAGAAACUGAGAUACCCAGAGUUGUGGUCAAAGUUGAGAAAAUGGAUGAGAGUGUUGAAGAAGGGGAGACACUGAUUCAAGCAGCAACAAUGGCUGACAUCAUAGAUGAGAACAAACUUGCAGGUGAGACAACGGGAUUGCUUGAAAGAAUCAGGGAUGAAGGUAAAUCAGUGGAAGAGGCAGAGCAGCAGGGGAAAGGUAUAUCAGGAGGAAAUCUGGAUGAAAUGAGUGUUGAUAAUGUUGCAGAAGCCGAGAAACAGAUGAAUGAUGGAGUAGAAACAAUAGAUGUCAGAAGCAUUAAGGACGAGGAGCAGAGACAUAUUGUAUACAAGAAGACCAUGGUGGUAAUAGGAGGAAUGGAUGUCGAUAACAGUGUAACUGAAGAUUUAAGGAAGGAAAAUGUGAUUUCAUCAAAUGCAGAUGUAAGAGAAAUUGCAGAUGAAAGUGGGUUCGAUUUGUUCGAUGACAAGAAUGAAGCUGUUGAGCAGUACCCUCGUAGGGUAUGCGGUGUCCGCAUAGGAUUCAGAGGUGAAAAUGGCAGAGAUUUUAUACCCGAGUCCAAGGUUUUGUCAGAGAUAGACAGCACUGUGAAGUCCAAUGAGGUCAGUGCUGAUUUUUUUUGUCUUUCUUGGAUAAACCGUGUUUCUGCUAGAUGGUUGACUGGAAAAUGAAAACAGAUGUAACUGUGUUCCUGCUAGAUGAUUGACUGGAAAAUGAAAAGAGACAUUAGUCUUAUUUGUAUUUCCUCAUGUUUAGUUGUCAUUCCAAAUAGGUAUUAGGGAGAAUUCUAGUCAAGAAAUUUUUCGAAGCAUGAUCUGGGAGUUAACCAGAUGACAAAAGCUUGUGUGAGAUUUUCUGGGUUCACGGUUUCUUGGUAUAAUCAUCAUUUAGAAGAUUUUCUGAACCGUCAUGGAUUUGUAUUAUUCUGAAUAAAUCCCAAAGCCCUGGGCCUAAAAGUUGUUUCCAUCCUUGCCCAGGUUGAAGAACAGCUUACUAAUAGUAUGGAUUUGGUGCAGGAGCAGGUGCCGGAGAGCGAAGAGAAGAUAUGGGAACGGAUUGACGCAAUGCGGGCAAUAGUGGGAUACAAAGCCCCAUCCAGCAGAACAUGCGUGGAAGAGCUGAAGGCGCUGUACAUGUUCACGGGCGUGGAGCCACCUCCCUCAUUCAAGGACCCCUCUGAUCUGAUGGAAGUAAGCAGCAGGCUUCAGUUUCUGAUGUCCAUAGUUGGAGUGAAGUAGAACUUUGUUGGCCUUAUACUUUGUUUUCAGUAGUUGUUUUGUGGAGGAGAGUGUGUUCUUCCUAUGAUGGAUUUGGAUGCUAUUCUGUUAGAACACUCUUGUCUGGAGAUUCCUAGCUUUGUAGGAUGUGGGAAAGCCAUGGUGUGCUGCUGUUUGUGUGUUGGCUUAGGAGAAGCGCAGCGGCCAUUAUUUCGGCCACAAAUGAAAUACUACAGUGCAUUUGGUAGUAAUUCUAAAAAACGUUUUUAGUGUAUUUUUGAUAAAGAUUUUAAGAAGUGUUUUUAGCAUUUUCAA
RNA transcript from Vitis vinifera (wine grape), 2514 nucleotides. RefSeq lists it as uncharacterized. The transcript has 4 exons. The record is from RefSeq and is a predicted model, not a curated record. Lineage: Eukaryota; Viridiplantae; Streptophyta; Magnoliopsida; Vitales; Vitaceae.